This 240-nucleotide ribosomal RNA is filed under the name uncultured bacterium. RNAcentral's name for it is "partial 16S ribosomal RNA". It matches the Rfam family "Bacterial small subunit ribosomal RNA", at positions 15 to 244 of the family's 1533-position model. The record is from RNAcentral.
GAUCAUGGCUCAGGAUGAACGCUAGCUACAGGCUUAACACAUGCAAGUCGAGGGGAAACGAUAGAGAAAGCUUGCUUUUUCUAGGCGUCGACCGGCGCACGGGUGAGUAACGCGUAUCCAACCUGCCCACCACUUGGGGAUAACCUUGCGAAAGUAAGACUAAUACCCAAUGACGUCUCUAGAAGGCAUCUGAAAGGGAUUAAAGAUUUAUCGGUGAUGGAUGGGGAUGCGUCUGAUUAG